Molecule: long non-coding RNA, 537 nt
Organism: Fundulus heteroclitus (mummichog)
Lineage: Eukaryota; Metazoa; Chordata; Actinopteri; Cyprinodontiformes; Fundulidae
Exons: 3
Source: RefSeq, a predicted model, not a curated record
UGGAAGCAGUUGUAGACUAACAAGGCGUCUAUAACAAAUGUUUUGCCCAUAAACAGCUACGGGAGAGCAGCAACUGCCGUGGCAGUUGGCGUUGCCAGUUAAAGUGCCACCGUUAGCUUCCGUUGCCACCGGGUGGUUUCACAGAAUAACGGCUCCUGUGGAGACAGCAACGGCUCGAGAUGUGGAGACAGCAGCUUAAGCGCUGGCUAGGAGGAGCAGAGGGCGAGACCUUAGAAACAACUAAAAAUGAUGAAGAUCUCAACAUCCUGCAGGCUGAUUUCAACCCCAAAGUUCUGCUGCACAGAUUAGCGUUGGCAUCAGAUGUUAAAGAAGAGGCUCCUGAAGAACAGAGUCCUGAGGUGGAGCAGCAGGAGUCAGAGCCCCUCCAAAUAAAGGAGGAACAGGAGGAACAGGCCUGUCAGAAAGGAGAGCAGUUCUUUAUGAAGGAGGAGACUGAUGCUAGCUUUCCAUUAACUGCAGCUCCUAUCAACACGUUGGCAUCAGAUGUUAAAGAAGAGGCUCCUGAAGAACAGAGUC